This 1828-nucleotide long non-coding RNA is filed under the name Sus scrofa (pig). RNAcentral describes it as "lncRNA (ENSSSCG00040044924.1)". The record is from RNAcentral. Lineage: Eukaryota; Metazoa; Chordata; Mammalia; Artiodactyla; Suidae.
UUAUUAGUGUUUCUCUCUUGUCCUUUUCCUUUAGGAAGCAGUGAAAUAUAAUGGUUAAGACACAGGCUCUAGGGAUUCCUUUGUAGCUCAGUGUUAUCACUGCUAUGGCUCUGGUUACAGCUGUAGCAUGGGUUUGAUCCCUGGCCCAGGAACUUGUGAAGGCUGUGAGCGGGACCAAAAAAAGAAAAAAAGACACAGGUUUUGUAAUAGACUGACUUGGGUCCAAAUUCGACUCCAUGACUGGCUGGGGCAUAUGACUUCUCUGAACCUCUGUGUCUUCACCUGAGAGAAUGGGAUAUUAAGAACUAUUUCACCUGGUUGCUGUGAGCGUUAAAUGAGACACCAUAUGAUACUGGGCACACAUCAGGGCUCAGUGAAUGAAGGGUAGCUAAUACAGUUUGCAGAGUCACUGAGUAGAAGUCUAGCUGCACAGAGCUUCUGUGUCUAGAUUUCAACGAUAUUCUUUCAUCAUUUCUUGGAACUCCCAGCACCCCAUGUGGCUUAUACACCACAGGCUCUGAUGUGUUUAACUUGAAAAAGAAGCAGUGUUCCCCUCUGAAGCGUGGUUCCCCAGUGCUGUUUGGCUACACCGGGAGGAGGAGGUUGGUAAGUAGUCAUGGCAGUUUAUCUUCUAGGGCAGGAAGGCUCAGGUUUUCUUGGAGAUUUCCAUUCUUCUAUCUCAUUUUCUGAGUCAGAACAACAAGUAUUUAGAGGACGUUUCCCAUCUUUUCCUCCUGAUUUCUUCUCCUCUAUCCCUUUUCAUUUUCAUCCUCCCUAGAGUGUGUUGGAGAAUCAAGAAUGUGGGUGCAGAAGAGGAGGAGCCAGAGACAUCUCUUACUUUCCCCCAGCUUGUGCAAAGAUGCUUCUGAACACCCUUGGACUAGGUGGAUCUUAAAUUACAAGGAACAAACAGCCAGAGUCUGGACUCUACAUCCUCAUCCCCGUCACCUGGGACCCAACAUCUUCAUCACCUGGGACCCAGUGGCCAGACCUAGCAGCCUGCUGUUUGCAACUCAGGUUAGCCCCUGCAAAGGUUCCUCCCUAGACGGUGGUGGAUGAGCGUGAGGGAAGCAGAACUCACCAAGAAACUUUCAAACACGACAAUCCUCACGGCAAGAAGGAAGACUUAUCCAGUGACAUGGAAGAGCCUGAGCGUCAUCAAUGAACUAAUGAACUGUGAGUCUCCGCCAGCCAGGAGAUCCCAAGUCCCUUAGGGAGGAGACUCCUUGGUGAGGUAGGAUGACCUCGUCCUUUUCUCACAGUGAGUAGGUCAGUAAGUAUUACCAUCUAACUUAAGGCCUUCUUGCUUCAAUAAGUCUAGGUCCCCUUGUUCUGUCUUCAAGUGAAAAAAAAUACCAUCCCUCUCUUGGUCUAUUUCUCUGACAUCCGUUGAAGGUAAAACAGACAAGAAAUCCGCCUACAGGAAGUUUGCAAUUAAGUUCCAAGUGAUUUUAAUUUUUUUAGUUCCCAGCCUUGGGGUCCAGUCGGAACAACAGCUGCUGGCCUAUACCACAGCCACAGCAAUGCCAGAUCCCUAACCCAUUGAUCGGGGCCAGGGAUCGAACCUGCAUCCUCAUGGAUACUAGUUAAGUUCACUACUGCUGAACCACAACAGGAACUCCUGCAACGUGAUUCUUAAUGCAUCCAUCCCUCCUGCAGCUUAAGCCCCUCCAUCACCCAGGGACUUCCAAUACACCUGUCCUAAAGUGGUAUGUGACCAGGGUGCAAAGCAGAAGGGCCCUUCUUUUGCUCUUCCAAUAUUAUCUCAUUGUACCUGUACCCACAAGUUCUUGUCUCCUAGAAUAAAAGAGUUCUUUUGUCCCCUCCA